GACAGAGGGGGCAAGCGUUGUCCGGAGUUACUGGGCGUAAAGGGCGCGUAGGCGGCCUGUUAAGUCGAACGUGAAAUCCCCGGGCUCAACCCGGGAACUGCGUCCGAUACUGGCAGGCUUGAAUUCGGGAGAGGGAUGCGGAAUUCCAGGUGUAGCGGUGAAAUGCGUAGAUAUCUGGAGGAACACCGGUGGCGAAGGCGGCAUCCUGGACCGAGAUUGACGCUGAGGCGCGAAAGCCAGGGGAGCAAACGGG
RNAcentral lists this ribosomal RNA (253 nucleotides) under uncultured bacterium. Its description in RNAcentral is "partial 16S ribosomal RNA". It matches the Rfam family "Bacterial small subunit ribosomal RNA", at positions 524 to 776 of the family's 1533-position model. The record is from RNAcentral.